AAUUUGUGACAUUAAAGGCAUAAGCAUUAUAGUUAGUGAGAUUGUAAGUCUCCCCUCUUUCAUGGUAUUGUGUGGAAACUUGGCCUUUUUUCCUUCCUUUAGAAAAUGUCUUGGUUCAAGGAUCCAUGCUUGUGAUAAGUGGGAUGAGUGUUCUCCAAAGAAUGACUUCAAUUAAAAAGCAAAAGCAAAACAAUACUAACUUCUAACCUAUUAACUACUAA
Molecule: long non-coding RNA, 221 nt
Filed under: Lathyrus oleraceus (garden pea)
Lineage: Eukaryota; Viridiplantae; Streptophyta; Magnoliopsida; Fabales; Fabaceae
Description: Pisum sativum (pea) long non-coding RNA (PSAT_LNC012608)
Source: RNAcentral